Molecule: ribosomal RNA, 484 nt
Filed under: uncultured bacterium
Lineage: Bacteria
Description: partial 16S ribosomal RNA
Rfam family: Bacterial small subunit ribosomal RNA
Source: RNAcentral
AGUGAACGCUGGCGGCGCGCUUAACACAUGCAAGUCGAACGAGAACGGAUUAUAGCUUGCUAUGAUUGUCAGCUAAGUGGCGCACGGGUGAGUAAUGUAUAGGUAAUAUGCCUCUUACUAAGGGAUAACAAAUGGAAACGUUUGCUAAUACCUUAUACUCCUUAUUAACAUAAGUUAAUAAGGGAAAGAUUUAUUGGUAAGAGAUUAGCCUGUAUUGUAUCAGUUAGUUGGUGGGGUAAUGGCUUACCAAGACGAUGACACAUAACUGGUUUGAACGGAUGAACUGUGACACAGGCACUGAGGUACGUGCCAGACUCAUCCGGCGUGAAGCGAUGGGGAAUAUUGUAGAAUGUACGAAAGUCUUAUGCAGCAAUGCCGCUUAGAGGAUGACCCAAUUUGAUGCGUACACUUCUUUUAUAUAAGAUGAUAAUGACGGUUUUAUAUGAAAAAGCACCGGCUAACUCCGUGCCAGCAGCCGCCGUAA